Canis lupus familiaris (dog) is the source of this 74-nucleotide non-coding RNA. The record is from Rfam. NCBI's taxonomy places the organism in Eukaryota, Metazoa, Chordata, Mammalia, Carnivora, Canidae.
ACCCAACUGGCUCAGUUGGUAGGGCAUGUGACUCUUGAUCUGGGGGGUCGUGAGUUCAUGCCCCACGUUGGGCA